UAAAGCUCUUUAAAAUGACUCCUUUGCUACAUGAGAUGCAAAUAUUUUUUUUUUAUACAAGUAUAUACUUUGACAUGAAAAUAUAAGUCUGCACUCCUUAUUACACACAACACGUAAUGUCAAAAACUCCACUGGGCUCAGAAAUAGGCACGUUUCUGGUGCCAGAGUUUUCUUUUUCUUUUUUCCUUCUUUAAGGCAAAAGCUAUUUUAGAACCGCUCAAGUUGUGCUUGUCAAGCUUGGCUCGAUAGACCUUUCAUCAGAGUUUCUCCGUGUCAGACGCGGCGACGCAAAGUCAGCCUCGGCAGCACUUAAAGCACACAAAGUUUACAGGGUUCAGCAGAAGCACUGAAAGGCGUGCGUAUAGCACAACUGGAUUUUACAUGAUUCAUUGUUGGGCUGCGUAAUCCAAAAUGUUCUACCUUCUGAGGGGGUGCAUUAUGGAAAAUUGACUAUUUAAUGUCUUGUAUACAAACAGAUCAGUCUGUCUCCCCACCCGUCAAGUGUGAAAUUAAACAGCCAAAUAAAUCUUUUAUUUCCCUAUUUCUGAAAAUCUGUCUCUGAGCGAGCCCUACUGGACUACUGCAACUUCAUUACAUAACGGAGCACCAAGGUGGACGGUUCCAUGAUCCAGAGCCACUUUCAAGCGACGAUCACACCACGCUGCCAGUGAAUGAUUUGUGUGUGGGGUCCACAAACACACACAACUGAGAAGACUCUCGCAUGUGGUUAUUGUCCAAAUGAUACUGUGGGGAAAUUCUGAAGAACCAAGUUAAGGAGUACAUGCAGAGUCACACACUGCGAGAUGAACAUCUAAGAAAACUGUCACCCCAGGUGGUGAACCCAUUGGAACAGAGACUUACAUCAUCUCUUCAGGCCCCACGAGUACAGGCCCGGCCAUUAGAUGCACACUAUCAACCCCCACCCCUAUCCAGGAAAUCGAAGUGCCCAGAGAAUAUCCACGCAGGCACGGGGGGAACAUGCAAACUCCACUCAAAGGGGGGCUGAGAUUUGAACCCCGCUACUCAGAACUGUGAGGCCAACGAUCUACACCUGCACCACCGUGCCGCCUCUAUUAGAAAUCAUCUCAUGUUCUUUAUG
Molecule: long non-coding RNA, 1099 nt
Organism: Syngnathoides biaculeatus (alligator pipefish)
Lineage: Eukaryota; Metazoa; Chordata; Actinopteri; Syngnathiformes; Syngnathidae
Exons: 5
Source: RefSeq, a predicted model, not a curated record